UAGGGAAUCUUGGACAAUGGGCGAAAGCCUGAUCCAGCCAUGCCGCGUGAGUGAUGAAGGUCUUAGGGUUGUAAAGCUCUUUCGCCAGGGAAGAUAAUGACGGUACCUGGAUAAGAAGCCCCGGCUAACGUCGUGCCAGCAGCCGCGGUAAUACGAAGGGGGCUAGCGUUGUUCGGAAUUACUGGGCGUAAAGCGCACGUAGGCGGCUUUCCAAGUUGGAGGUGAAAUCCCCGGGCUUAACCCGGGAACUGCCUCCAAAACUGAAAGGCUAGAGUCCGAGAGAGGUGAGUGGAAUUUCCAGUGUAGAGGUGAAAUUCGUAGAUAUUGGAAAGAACACCAGUGGCGAAGGCGGCUCACUGGCUCGGUACUGACGCUGAGGUGCGACAGCGUGGGGAGCAAACA
RNAcentral lists this ribosomal RNA (402 nucleotides) under uncultured bacterium. RNAcentral's name for it is "bacterial SSU rRNA". It matches the Rfam family "Bacterial small subunit ribosomal RNA", at positions 355 to 774 of the family's 1533-position model. The record is from RNAcentral.